This 445-nucleotide ribosomal RNA is filed under the name uncultured bacterium. Its description in RNAcentral is "bacterial SSU rRNA". It matches the Rfam family "Bacterial small subunit ribosomal RNA", at positions 354 to 796 of the family's 1533-position model. The record is from RNAcentral.
GUGAGGAAUAUUGGUCAAUGGGCGAGAGCCUGAACCAGCCAAGUAGCGUGCAGGAUGACGGCCCUAUGGGUUGUAAACUGCUUUUAUAAGGGAAUAAAGUGGGGCUCGUGAGCUCUUUUGCAUGUACCUUAUGAAUAAGGACCGGCUAAUUCCGUGCCAGCAGCCGCGGUAAUACGGAAGGUCCGGGCGUUAUCCGGAUUUAUUGGGUUUAAAGGGAGCGUAGGCCGCAGGUUAAGCGUGUUGUGAAAUGUAGGGGCUCAACCUCUGCACUGCAGCGCGAACUGGCUUGCUUGAGUACGCACAACGUGGGCGGAAUUCGUGGUGUAGCGGUGAAAUGCUUAGAUAUCACGAAGAACUCCGAUUGCGAAGGCAGCUCACGGGAGCGCAACUGACGCUGAAGCUCGAAAGUGCGGGUAUCGAACAGGAUUAGAAACCCUAGUAGUCC